GAUGAACGCUCGCGGCAGGCCUAACACAUGCAAGUCGAGGGGGAAGUUACUUUCGGGUGACUGAGACCGGCGUACGGUUGCGUAACGCGUAUACAAUCUGCCUUUCACUGUUUUAUAUCCCGAAGAACUUUGGAUUACUUCCCCAUAGUAUAUAUGCACGGCAUCGUUUUUAUAUUAAAGCUUUGGUGGUUAAAGCUGAGUAUGCGUUCUAUUACCUAGUUGGAGAUGUAACGGCUCCCCAAGGCGAUGAUGGAUAGGGGUUCUGAGAGCGAUGUCCCCCACACUGGUACUGAGGUACGGACCAGAAUCCUACGGGAGGCAGCAGUGAGGAAUAGAGGACAAUGGUAGGAAAACCAAUCCAGCCAUGACGCGUGCAGGAGGAAGGUCGUAGGGAUGGUAAACUGACUUUGAAAAGAAAGAAUAAGGGCUAAGCGGAGUUUGAUGACGGUACCUUACGAAUAAGCACCGGCUAACUCCGUG
This 480-nucleotide ribosomal RNA is filed under the name uncultured bacterium. Its description in RNAcentral is "partial 16S ribosomal RNA". It matches the Rfam family "Bacterial small subunit ribosomal RNA", at positions 28 to 507 of the family's 1533-position model. The record is from RNAcentral.